AUUGAACGCUGGCGGCAUGCCUUACACAUGCAAGUCGAACGGCAGCACGGAGCUUGCUCUGGUGGCGAGUGGCGAACGGGUGAGUAAUAUAUCGGAACGUACCCUAGAGUGGGGGAUAACGUAGCGAAAGUUACGCUAAUACCGCAUACGAUCUAAGGAUGAAAGUGGGGGAUCGCAAGACCUCAUGCUCGUGGAGCGGCCGAUAUCUGAUUAGCUAGUUGGUAGGGUAAAAGCCUACCAAGGCAUCGAUCAGUAGCUGGUCUGAGAGGACGACCAGCCACACUGGAACUGAGACACGGUCCAGACUCCUACGGGAGGCAGCAGUGGGGAAUUUUGGACAAUGGGCGAAAGCCUGAUCCAGCAAUGCCGCGUGAGUGAAGAAGGCCUUCGGGUUGUAAAGCUCUUUUGUCAGGGAAGAAACGGUGAAAGCUAAUAUCUUUUGCUAAUGACGGUACCUGAAGAAUAAGCACCGGCUAACUACGUGCCAGCAGCCGCGGUAAUACGUAGGGUGCAAGCGUUAAUCGGAAUUACUGGGCGUAAAGCGUGCGCAGGCGGUUUUGUAAGUCUGAUGUGAAAUCCCCGGGCUCAACCUGGGAAUUGCAUUGGAGACUGCAAGGCUAGAACCUGGCAGAGGGGGGUAGAAUUCCACGUGUAGCAGUGAAAUGCGUAGAUAUGUGGAGGAACACCGAUGGCGAAGGCAGCCCCCUGGGUCAAGAUUGACGCUCAUGCACGAAAGCGUGGGGAGCAAACAGGAUUAGAUACCCUGGUAGUCCACGCCCUAAACGAUGUCUACUAGUUGUCGGGUCUUAAUUGACUUGGUAACGCAGCUAACGCGUGAAGUAGACCGCCUGGGGAGUACGGUCGCAAGAUUAAAACUCAAAGGAAUUGACGGGGACCCGCACAAGCGGUGGAUGAUGUGGAUUAAUUCGAUGCAACGCGAAAAACCUUACCUACCCUUGACAUGGCUGGAAUCCUUGAGAGAUCAGGGAGUGCUCGAAAGAGAACCAGUACACAGGUGCUGCAUGGCCGUCGUCAGCUCGUGUCGUGAGAUGUUGGGUUAAGUCCCGCAACGAGCGCAACCCUUGUCAUUAGUUGCUACGAAAGGGCACUCUAAUGAGACUGCCGGUGACAAACCGGAGGAAGGUGGGGAUGACGUCAAGUCCUCAUGGCCCUUAUGGGUAGGGCUUCACACGUCAUACAAUGGUACAUACAGAGCGCCGCCAACCCGCGAGGGGGAGCUAAUCGCAGAAAGUGUAUCGUAGUCCGGAUUGUAGUCUGCAACUCGACUGCAUGAAGUUGGAAUCGCUAGUAAUCGCGGAUCAGCAUGUCGCGGUGAAUACGUUACCGGGUCU
This 1352-nucleotide ribosomal RNA is filed under the name uncultured bacterium. Its description in RNAcentral is "bacterial SSU rRNA". It matches the Rfam family "Bacterial small subunit ribosomal RNA", at positions 28 to 1381 of the family's 1533-position model. The record is from RNAcentral.